Molecule: ribosomal RNA, 404 nt
Filed under: Actinomycetes bacterium
Lineage: Bacteria; Bacillati; Actinomycetota; Actinomycetes
Description: Actinobacteria bacterium partial 16S ribosomal RNA
Rfam family: Bacterial small subunit ribosomal RNA
Source: RNAcentral
UGGGGAAUAUUGGACAAUGGGCGCAAGCCUGAUCCAGCCAUGCCGCGUGAGUGAUGAAGGCCCUAGGGUUGUAAAGCUCUUUCACCGGUGAAGAUAAUGACGGUAACCGGAGAAGAAGCCCCGGCUAACUUCGUGCCAGCAGCCGCGGUAAUACGAAGGGGGCUAGCGUUGUUCGGAUUUACUGGGCGUAAAGCGCACGUAGGCGGACUAUUAAGUCAGGGGUGAAAUCCCGGGGCUCAACCCCGGAACUGCCUUUGAUACUGGUAGUCUUGAGUUCGAGAGAGGUGGGGGGAGUUCCGAGUGUAGAGGUGAAAAUCGUAGAUAUUCGGAGGAACACCAGUGGCGAAGGCGGCUCACUGGCGCGAUACUGACGCUGAGGUGCGAAAGCGUGGGGAGCGAACAGG